RNAcentral lists this ribosomal RNA (253 nucleotides) under uncultured bacterium. RNAcentral describes it as "partial 16S ribosomal RNA". It matches the Rfam family "Bacterial small subunit ribosomal RNA", at positions 524 to 776 of the family's 1533-position model. The record is from RNAcentral.
UACAGAGGGUGCGAGCGUUGUCCGGAAUCACUGGGCGUAAAGGGCGCGUAGGCGGCCUGAUAAGUAGGGGGUGAAAUCCUGUGGCUUAACUGCAGGGCUGCCUCCUAGACUGUCUGGCUCGAGCACGGUAGAGGCAGAUGGAAUUCCCGGUGUAGCGGUGGAAUGCGUAGAGAUCGGGAAGAACAUCGGUGGCGAAGGCGGUCUGCUGGGCCGUUGCUGACGCUGAGGCGCGACAGCGUGGGGAGCAAACAGG